RNAcentral lists this ribosomal RNA (567 nucleotides) under uncultured Glomeromycotina. Its description in RNAcentral is "SSU rRNA". It matches the Rfam family "Eukaryotic small subunit ribosomal RNA", at positions 548 to 1114 of the family's 1831-position model. Lineage: Eukaryota; Fungi; Glomeromycota. The record is from RNAcentral.
UUGGAGGGCAAGUCUGGUGCCAGCAGCCGCGGUAAUUCCAGCUCCAAUAGCGUAUAUUAAAGUUGUUGCAGUUAAAAAGCUCGUAGUUGAAUUUCGGGAUUCGUCCAUUGGUCAGGCUUAACUGUCUGUACUGGUGUGUCGGAUUUCUACCUUCUGAAGAACCUUUAUGCCAUUAAUUUGGUGUGUUGGGGAAUCAGGACUGUUACUUUGAAAAAAUUAGAGUGUUUAAAGCAGGCUAACGUCUGAAUACAUUAGCAUGGAAUAAUGAAAUAGGACGGUACGGUUCUAUUUUGUUGGUUUCUAGGAUCGCCGUAAUGAUUAAUAGGGAUAGUUGGGGGCAUUAGUAUUCAAUUGUCAGAGGUGUAAUUCUUGGAUUUAUUGAAGACUAACUACUGCGAAAGCAUUUGCCAAGGAUGUUUUCAUUAAUCAAGAACGAAAGUUAGGGGAUCGAAGACGAUCAGAUACCGUCGUAGUCUUAACCAUAAACUAUGCCGACUAGGGAUUGGACGAUGUUAAUUUUUUAAUGACUCGUUCAGCACCUUACGGGAAACCAAAGUGUUUGGGUUC